UACAGAGGGUGCGAGCGUUAAUCGGAAUGACUGGGCGUAAAGGGCACGUAGGCGGUAGGACAAGUUAGAUGUGAAAUGCCAGGGCUUAACCUUGGGACUGCAUCUAAAACUGUUUUACUAGAGUUCACUAGAGGGAAGUGGAAUUUCCGGUGUAGCGGUGAAAUGCGUAGAUAUCGGAAGGAACAUCAGUGGCGAAGGCGGCUUUCUGGAGUUGAACUGACGCUAAGGUGCGAAAGCGUGGGGAGCAAACAGGAUUAGAUACCCCCGUA
Molecule: ribosomal RNA, 269 nt
Filed under: uncultured prokaryote
Description: partial 16S ribosomal RNA
Rfam family: Bacterial small subunit ribosomal RNA
Source: RNAcentral